RNAcentral lists this ribosomal RNA (778 nucleotides) under Microcella frigidaquae. RNAcentral describes it as "bacterial SSU rRNA". It matches the Rfam family "Bacterial small subunit ribosomal RNA", at positions 57 to 843 of the family's 1533-position model. The record is from RNAcentral. Lineage: Bacteria; Bacillati; Actinomycetota; Actinomycetes; Micrococcales; Microbacteriaceae.
GCAGUCGAACGAUGAAAGCAGGAGCUUGCUUUUGCUGGAUUAGUGGCGAACGGGUGAGUAACACGUGAGUAACCUGCCCUUGACUCUGGGAUAAGCGUUGGAAACGACGUCUAAUACCGGAUACGAGCUAGGACCGCAUGGUCACUAGUUGGAAAGAAUUUCGGUCAAGGAUGGACUCGCGGCCUAUCAGCUAGUUGGUGAGGUAACGGCCCACCAAGGCGACGACGGGUAGCCGGCCUGAGAGGGUGACCGGCCACACUGGGACUGAGACACGGCCCAGACUCCUACGGGAGGCAGCAGUGGGGAAUAUUGCACAAUGGGCGCAAGCCUGAUGCAGCAACGCCGCGUGAGGGACGACGGCCUUCGGGUUGUAAACCUCUUUUAGCAGGGAAGAAGCGAAAGUGACGGUACCUGCAGAAAAAGCACCGGCUAACUACGUGCCAGCAGCCGCGGUAAUACGUAGGGUGCAAGCGUUGUCCGGAAUUAUUGGGCGUAAAGAGCUCGUAGGCGGUUUGUCGCGUCUGCUGUGAAAAUCCGAGGCUCAACCUCGGACCUGCAGUGGGUACGGGCAAACUAGAGUGCGGUAGGGGAGAUUGGAAUUCCUGGUGUAGCGGUGGAAUGCGCAGAUAUCAGGAGGAACACCAAUGGCGAAGGCAGAUCUCUGGGCCGUAACUGACGCUGAGGAGCGAAAGCGUGGGGAGCGAACAGGAUUAGAUACCCUGGUAGUCCACGCCGUAAACGGUGGGAACUAGAUGUGGGGUCCGUUCCACGGAUUCCG